GGGGGGGGGGGGGUGGCGGGACGUGCACCGAGGCCCGGGACAAAGGGAAAAGCCUCAAGUAUGCCGAAAAAUAACAUCCUCUCCGCUCCCAGCGCUGCCGGGUGAUUCAUGCUUUUUGGGUGACUCAAAACGCCUGGUUUUCCUUAGUUCGGACACAGCGCCGAGGAUUUCUUGCUGCUUCACAGGCCCCCCCGCCCCCCCGUCGUGGGACCCGACUCGGACUUGUCCCCCCGGGUGGCCGCCGGGGUGGGGGCUGGGGGGCCGGGGCCUCUUCCUCUUGUCCUUGUGCAGUCGGGGCGGGAGUCCGGGGAGGAGGGUCUUCCCUUGGACCAAGCGGGGCCUGGCGUUGGCGUUGGUGUUGGUGGCGGGGCGGGGGCUCCUCUCCCGCCGGCCCUGGGCGAGGAGUGAGGCCGCCGCGGGCCCGGGGAAAGUCGGGUUCCUGCUCCCUCCUGUACCUGUCAGAUGGGGCUCCGGGAUGGUCCCGGGGCGCCCACACCUGCCUCUUUGAAAAGGCAGGUCCCGGGGCCCCAGCCCUGGAGUGACAGGAGGAGGGGCUUGUAUGGGAACAGCCCCCCGAGAAGCCGGGCUGUGGCCCCACUGGUCUUUGGGGACCUGACACUGGCUGCCCCCCAGCUCGGGGAACACAGGAAGGCUUUGGGGCCUUGAGCUUUGUUGGAUUUGCACCCUGGUCUGCAUCCCCUUGGGGUGUCUGUGCCCCCUGCCCCACCCCAGAGCUUUCCGUCCUGCCCGGAGAGACAUGCCUGCUGGGAGACCGGCUGGCCCUCUGCGUUUUCAGAAGAACCCGAGGAGGGAGGCGCUGCGGCCAAGGGUUCGCAGGGUCUGACUUCCUCUCGGGUGAGGACAGUCGGGAGUUGGGUCAGGGCAGGAGUCAUGGCCUGGGACGCAGUUCUGUCCUCUGGGCAGGUGCCCAACAGCCAGAAAAGACUCCUUUCAUGUGAGCCAGAAGCCACGCAGACCCUGAAGCUGCGGAGUCGGACGAUGGUUGGGACCGAGGCCAGGCAGGUCAGCCCGGGUGGAGCUGGGUCUGGCCAGGUUCUGGCUGUGGGUUGGGCUUGUGCCGGGAUUCCCUUUCUCCACUGGGCGCCUUUUUCUGGGAAGCAGAGUAUGAGGUAAUGAGGGUCCUGGCCGGGAGUCCGGAGACCUUGCUUCUUGUCGGCGGUCACUUUCAGUUAUAUGACCUUGAGCAAGUCCCUUUGCCUCUGUACAGUUCAUUUCCUUUAAAAAAUAUUUUUAUUGAUUUCAGAGAGGAAGGGAGAGGAAGAGAGAGAUAGAAGCAUCAGUGAUGAUAGAGAAUCAUUGAUUGGCUGCCUCUUGCCUGCCCCCUCAACCCCCCCCAACUCCCCCCACUGGGGAUGGGGCAUGUGCCCUGACCGGGAAUUGAACCCUGACCUCCUGGUUCAUGGGUGGACGUUCAAUCAAGGAGCCACACCAGCAGGGCUAGUUCAUUUCCUUUUCUAUAAACUGGGAGUAGAGAUUCCUGACUUACCUCAGUCACCAGGCUAUUGUGAAAAGGAAGGACUGAUGUUUUAUUAGAUUUUUUUUCUUACAAUUUAAAAAGACAAACAAAAAACACCUUUGGAAUAGUAAAUGUGGGGUUGGCGGAGUUCUGAGAGUUUCCUUGUUAUUCCAGGCAGUCGUCAGAGGGCUUGCUUUCUGAUUCUUAGCUUAGAUUAACUAGAAUGAAACAUGUAUAUUUGAGUUGAAUCUGUUAAAAAUUUUAAAAAAUCUGUUGAUAAUUUGAUUCAGAGGAGUGGGGUUACACAUUCAAAGUACUUUUCCUCUUUCACUGUGUUCACAGUUGAAUUGUUGAUUUUAAAACAGGCCUGAAUGGUAGUUUCUGAACUAAUGAGUGGGGCUAUUUGUGCUGCGAGAGAUUAGGUCAGCCUUCCACCUCCUGGGAUCUUUCAGGAAGAAACUGCUCUUGAAACGAGGAGGGGGACCCAGAGCUGCUGCCAAGAGCUUUCGCCGCCGCUCUCUGCAUCCGGCCCCUCCCUCACCACCCCAGCUUCCUAGUCUCAUCCUCCUGGCUUCUUCAGAAAACCUCAGCCAUUGGUUCCCAUCAGUCUCCCCCAAGCCCUUGCUUCCUGCUCCCUUUUCUGCCCUGAGCUUAUUUUAGACCAUCAAGGCUGGAAGACAGAUCAGCGAUAACUGAGGCCACCCCCCUGUAAGAGAGAGGUACAGAAACCUCUUUCAGGGACUGCAUGGUAGCCUCAGACUGGAAGAGCCUUAAGAUCAGCUAACCUACUUUUAACCAGGAGGAGACCAACCCUAGCAGCUUGCCCGGUUCGGGGACACCGUGAGGAAUCUUCAUCCACUGUUCUUGCCCUACUCGUAUACAGGGUCUCCAGUGGCCUCCCAUACACUUGUGGUGAGGAGGAUUGCUUCAAGGGUAAUGAUGCUACAGAAGGUUCCUUGGAGAGCAGGCUUCGGGUAUCCCACUAGGGACCUUGAGAUUGCUAGCUCGAGCAGACAAGUUCCGUGGUCUUUCCUCACUACUGGAAUUCAGAGUGAUCCAGGGAAAGGAAUAAGCAACAAUCCUCUGUUACCUGUCAGGGCAUCCUCCAGUCCCAGCCCCUGUCCACAGGGUAGCAUCUGUCCUUCAGUUCUUCUCCGAUGCAUUUCCUGCGUAGAUAGAGACUCAGGUUCAUAGUUAAAACCUUUUUUAACCUAAACUGUAUGUACGUAUGCACAACGUAUAUUUUCUGGUUAGUAACCUGUCUUACAACUCUCUUCAUAGUAUUAAAUACAAAUAUACAAAAGUCAUUGUGUAUAGUGUACCACCAGAUAUGUAUCAUAGUUUUACUGUAUUGAUGGACAGCAAGGUUACUUCUGGGUUUUACUAUUAUAAACGAAAUGCUUCCACGAACAGCUUUCUAAAUGUUUUUGGGUACAUGUGUGCCUGCAUGAAUGCAAGUAUUUUUCUGGGGCAAAUACUUAAAAAAGAUGACAGGAUUGACAUCAAGCGCAUUACAUCUUCUAUAGGUAGCACCAAAUUGCCUUUCUAAAAUGGCUGUGUCAUACUAUUGCCAGGAUUGUAUAUUAUCAAAUGAUUUAAUUCUUUAAUAUUUUCCCUAAUUACCAGUGAUGUUAAGCCUGUCUUUAUAAUAUUUGUUAAAUAUAUUUUAUUUCUUUAGUGCGUGCCAGUUCCUGUUGUUUGCCGUGUUUUUGUUUUUGUUUUUCUAAAUUGGGUUAGUUCUCCACCCCCAUUGAUUUGUAGGAGUUUUCUGUAUAUACUCGAGGUCAGGGAUCCACAAACCUUUUCUAUAUAAGGCCAGAUAGUAAAUAUUUUAGCCUUGUAGGUCAUACAGUUUUUGUAGCAACUAUGCAACUUUGCUAUUAUAGUGCAAAAACUGCAGUAUAAAGCUGCUGUAGACAAUACAUAAACUAAUGGGAAAUGACUGUUUCCAAUAAAACUUUAUUUACAAAGCCAGUCAGUUUUCAGGAUUUGGUGACUCCUGUUCAAGGUAUUAAUCUGACACCUGUCAUAUAGCGCAGUUAUUUUCUCUCAGGGCGUCACUUGUCUUUAAAUUUUUAUGUAUGGUCAUUUCUCUAUAUCAUAUGGUAGUUUUAAAUAUGAAUGCAGUUAAAUUUCCAUAUUUUCCUUUAUAGUUUGCAGUCCUUUUAAUAAAUAGUGACUUUUUAUUUAUUUUGUUAACCCUCACCCAAGGAUAUUUUUCCAUUGAUAUUUUUAGAGAGUGAAAGAAGGGAGACACACACACACACACACACACAACCAUCAUUGUUGAGAGAGACAUAUUGAUUGGUUGCCUCCUGCACACAUCCUGACCGGGGUGGUGGAUGGAACCUGCAACCCAGAUACAUGUCCUUGACCAGGUAUUGAACCCAAGACCUUUUGGUGUGUGGGCUGAUGCUCUAACCACAGGAGCAACACCGGUCAGGGCUGUAGUUUGUAGUUUUAAUCUUAGCAUACAAAGGUCUUCUUUCCAAAGUUAUAAAAGCAUUUCUAAAUGCUUUUAUGCAUAUGCUCAUGAUAGCACUAUUCACAGUAGCCAAAACAUAGCAACAACCCAAGUAUCCACGGAUGGAUAAAUGGAUAAGCAAAUUGUGGUUUAUCCAUAUAUUGGAAUAUUAUCCUAUAUAAUAAAAGGCCAGGACCAUAAGUGUCACAACUGAAUGACCGCUCAACCCGUCGCCAUGAGGUGCAUUGAACACCUCUUGGUCCCCCCGCCCCCCUCCAGGGCUCCAAUUGCAGCAUGGUGAACGGGGAACCACGGCAAACGGCGGGGGCGAGGUGGGGAGUGGCGGCGGGGCAGGACUGGGGACUGUUAAGCAGGGCGGGCGGUGGAUGGCGGGCAGCAGCAAGCAUUGAGGGGCAGCUGCAGAGAAGGUUGUGGAGCCUUGCGGGGGUGGGGAGCUUCAUGGAGCGUUGCAGGGUGUCAGAGGCAAGCGUUGUGGAGCUUUGCAGGGCGGGGAGCGUAGUGGGUGUCACCGGGCGUGCCGAGUGUCGGACAUGGCCCUGAUCACAGGCGAGGCCUAGGGACCCUACUUGUGCACGAUUUUGUGCGCUGGGCCUCUAGUUCAGUUAUAAAGAGGAUUGAAGUACUGAGACAUGUUACAGCAUGAUUGACCCUCAAAAACAUGAUGUAAAGUGAAAGAGUCAGACACAGGGUCACAGACUGUAUGAUUUGUUUAUAGGAAAUAUCCAGAAUAGGUAAAUCCAUAGAGACGAAGCAUAUUAGUGGUUGUCAAGGUUCUGGGGGAGGGUGGAAUGAGGAGUGGCUGCUGAUGGGAUCAGGUUUCUAUUUUGGGGUGAUGAACUGUUCUAAACCAGAUAGAGAUGCUGUUGCAUAGCAUGUGAAUGUACUAAAUGCCACUGAAUUGAUCACUUUAAAAUGGUCCAUUUUAUGUGAAUUUUACCUCAAUAAAAAUAUGCACAAAAAUUGCAAGUGCGUGUGGACACACAGGUACAUACUUCCCAAACCUGCCCUCUGCUUUUUGUGUCAUUUGGAGCGACUAUCUGAUUAUUUCUAGAGUCUAGAUCAGGGAUUGACCUUUUUUUUUUUUUUUAAAAAAAAGUCAGAUAGUAAAUACUAUUGCAGGCUUUGUAGGCUAACUGGCUACAUCGAGGAGUUUGUGUAGGUACUCAUAGAACCAUUUAGAAUGUAAAAGCCAUUCUUGGUUUCGGGCCUUAAGAAAUCCAGUGGGUUAGAUUUGGCCUACCAGGCUUAGCUUGCCAAACCCCUGGGUUAGACCCACCACAGCUGUAAUUUAAAAUUUUCUAGUUGCCACAUUCAAGAAGUAAAAAGAAAUAGGUGAAGUUAAUCUUAAUUGACCUAACAUAUUCAAAAUAUUCUCCUUUCAACAUGUAAAGAAGUUAUGUGCAGUUAUACUUAUGGCACCUUUCAGUUCAGACUAGCCACUUGCCAAGGGCUCCGAGCCAUGAGUGGCUGGUGCUGCAGUGUAAGACCAGACGCUGGAACUGCAGCAGCCCUGUCCGCAGCUGGACCCUUGGGGCCCGGGGGGAAGAAGAGGGGGGGAAGCUGUGCUUGUAGGUUUCUGUCCUCCCUGAGGGCGCUGUGCAGAGCAGUUUCUCUCGGGACUCUGUGACCCUCGCCUCCUUAGUGUCUUUUUUAGCCAACUUUCAGGGGUUCUUGCUUUGAAUAUUACAUCUUCUUUGAUGAGACUUUUUAGUAUGGUUGAGAGCGUUGGGCCUCUGAUCCUCACUCCCUAUCCAGGGGCAAAAGGGAGGAAGGUGCUGGCCAAGGCCACGUUGGCCUGUCCCUGGAGAGAGCCUGCGAGCAGGGGGCAGGCUGGUGUGCCCCUCCAGGCUCCUCACUGGAUGUGCUGGCUGCGCUCUGACACAGCCCUUUGUCUGUGCUGAGUGUUUGCAGCUGUGUCCAGCUGCCUCUCCCUGUGUUCUAGCUGCUGCCUGACCUUUGUCUCUGGAUUCUUUUUCCCUUGCUACACAGAAGGACUACAAUGGAAGACCUAUGUUCUAUUCUUGGCACAAACUGCAGGGUGACCCAGGAAGGUCACUUAUGUUCUUGGCGCCUCGGUUUCCCACUCACAAAGUGGGUGCCCAUAUUCGCUGUGCAGGGAGUGGUGUACUAAUGGAAUGAAGGGAGGAUGCUGGCCAGGCCUGUGGAGGUGGCUGGACCCCCUUGGUAGUAAUAUUCCAGGAAGUGUCCUGAGGACCACUGCUGUGGGGGUAGCCUUUGUUUAGGCUGUCCCUGAUUACUAGGACCUGAUAUUGUUUAGCUGAAAUAAAGAACUUGCACUUGGAAUGUUUACUAGUAUUGUUAAAUUGUUCUCAAGCUGCUAUUUAGCCUUAAAAGAGAGGGGAGAGCAUUGAAAGCAGGGAAAAGAGACACAGGGAAGUAACUUCUACUGUGACGUCCUAAUACUGUGGGAGGGAGGUGGGUGGACAGGGAGAGGUGUAAGAGCACUGAGUGCUAAUUUGGAAGCAUUCAACCUGAGAAAAUAGGCUUUUCAUUCAUCCUUGAAAACUCACUCUCCAAGCCUCAUUUUCCCCUUUGAAAUGACACAGUUGCACCAGGUCAGUGGUUUUGAAACUUUCAUUACAUCUUGGAUCCUUUUACUCAAAGUAAUCACAUACGGAAAUGCCAUAUAUGAGACAUAAAAAGUGACAAUUCUGGAAUACAUUAGGUAGAAGCCUGGAGCUUGGCUUCUUGUCCACCUCCGCUCCUCAUCUCUGGAGCCUCCUGUCACUUCCCUAGAUUGUGUGGUUCCUCCACUUUUAGCGGUUGAGGGUCCUACGAAAUCACCCAGGAUGGUUUCACAGCUGCCCUGGGAUGGAACACUGGGUGCCCAUCCCCACUGCUCCCAUCACAGUACCACUUCGUUUGGAGGUGAGUGCCAGUGGUUGAUUCGCUGGCAUUUGGGCUCUGUAGACUGGGACUGGAGUCUUCCAGACCACUCACUGUGUUUUUUUUCUAGUCAGGCUCAUUGUAGUUCACAUGAAACCACAGCUUUUUGCCAGGAGCUUAUAACCCUCUGCUUCCUCUCCUCCAACUCAGCUUGGCGUUUGCAUGUUGUGCUGGACGCGGGGCAACUUGCAAUGAGAGUGAGCAGAUGGGCCCUUCUGAGUCCACUCGCUGAAUCAAGUGUUACAGACCAUGACCUCAUCCUGCCCUUGGCAGCUGGGAGGAGAGCAGGGCUGGUGGCAGCAUGACCACAAGGGAGGUUGGGUGGCCCGAUCAAGGCCACCAAGCUGCCUAGCCAUGGGCUGUGAUAUAGAACUCAGUUCCAUGAGGCUUCCACACCAGUGUUCGUGUGGCCUGGAGUCUGUCUUCCUGCUCACUUUGCUUGUAAACUUGUGCUGUUUCUGUAGCAGGCUGGGGUAUUGCAAAAUAAAUCAAAGCUAAUGGACUUCUAAUUCCUCGCCAGGGGAGAGCAAGGACCCACAAGGGGCUGGGUGAUCUCCCUCCAUUAAGCAAAAGUGAGGUAUUGCCCCCAGUUAGCAGAUGGAGCCACCGAGGCUCAGAAAGAUUCAGCGACCUGCCUAGGUCACAGGGAGGCCAGUGUGGGUUUUCCCAAAGUUCUGUUUGGCCUUCCUGUCUGAUAACCUUUGCUAUAAUAAAAAACAGGGCCUUACCCUGGCUUGGAUUUCUUAGUUGCUGGGGUGUGUGGGGUAUAUGUGGGGAGUCGGCAGUUCAGGACAUUGUGCAGGUCCUCCUGCAGGUUCUGAAAUCUCCUUAGCCCCGGGGUAUCCCACGUUCCCCAGGCAGGCUGCUGGCCUGUGGCAGUGACCACACCUUUGGCAUAGCCCUGCACAGGAAGUACUGUUUUCCCCUGAAGCAGGAAUUCAGAAUCAGGAAAUAGUUGUGUCCUUGAUCUCUGUGGGUCCUAAAGCACAGGGCAGACCACAAGGCUCCACGCGCACCUUCAAGACUGGUCUCUCACCUGAGUCCUGGUCCGUAGCUAAAGGGGCUGGUGGGCAGUGGCUGCUGGGAGUCUCAUUUGAAUCAGAGAAAGAGCCAGCAUCUGCAGGCUUCUGGGUGCCACACCUAGAGCCUUUCCACUCAGGUUGGUGAGCGACCUGGAUGUAGGGAGCCUUGGGCUAAGUAGGGUUGGGGUGUUUAUUUGUCUUCUGUCUGGGGACCCACUCUGACCUAGAAAUGUGACCCAGUUCCACUUUCCAUUGAAAUGUGCUCAAGGAAACGGAACGGUGUGUGUGUGUGUGAAGCGGGGGAGGCGAGGACUUUCAGCUCAGAUUCGGAUUAGCAUCCUGGCUCCAUUUUAAUUAGCAUGUUACUCAGAGUUUGUGUCUGUGUCCCUCCUCUGAAAACCGGGGGCUGUAAUAAUACCAUGCCUUUGGGUGUCAUGAAGGUGGUGGAAGGGGAAAGAAAUAGCAAGUGCCAAAUUUGUCAAUGCUUGGGUAUGUGGUGGGAGCUCAGUAAAUGGGGUUCAUUUCGCCAGCACUGCCCCAGAGAGAGGCCCUCCCUCUGUGAUUUUGUGGACUGGCUGACCCCACUGUGUUUCUGUGUACCCCCACACCCACAUAACAUAGCCCAGGCUGCCUCCUCUCCCACUGAGCUGCUUGGGAUCACCCUAGCAACUUCCUCAUAUUAGCCCCCAGGGACUGGAAGGGCCAUAGUCAUUUUGCUUGUUUGGGUUUGAUUUUUCAGCAAUUAAGUAUAGUAGUAAAGAUUGAAUUGGUUUUAAGAAUUUGUAGUGGGCAGGAAAUGAAGAGAACAGGUGCCAUCAACUCAAGAGUUCACAUUAGAGCGUGUGCUGAUCCAGGGGACAGUGGCCAAUAGCCAGCACAGCAGCCCCCCAAGCCCCUGCCAAGCCCAGGGAAGUGCACAGUGCAGGUCUCAUGAAUGGCAGUGGCUGAUCCCAAUUUCAGAAGUCACUUUGGUGGGAAGUGUCAGAGUUGCCAUCAGCAAAGAGGGGGGAUUAACACAUUCCACUUAUCGACUGGUGUCCCUGGGAGCAGUUGUCUGGGAAUCAAAGUCCUCAUACCCUGGGGCCUGGGUGCAUUGGCUAGAGGAGCGUAGAGAGCAGCCAGGUCCAGGCCCACGUCGCUGGGCAGGUGGGCAGGAGAUCUCCACCCCACUGCCCUCCCAGCUUUUAAAAAGGAUUGCAGCCUUUUGCCAAGGGACCUGUCUCUAGGGGCCUAACAAGUAGAACUGGCUUCCUUGUGAAAGCCUGUGAACAAGCUCAUCUCACAAGCAGACGCCAUCUCGGCACAGUUCCCAUCUAGAAAUCCUGUGAGCUUAGGAGUCCUCUUCUUUGGGGAGCUGGGCCAGCAAGUAUGGCCACACAGCCUCUGAUGGCAGAGGUUUGCCUAUACUUAAAUCGCAGGAGCAGUUGACAUGCUCUGGGAAUAUUUAUUGAGGCCCUGGUGGCAUUCAUAGUAAACAGGCCACUAUUAACUCACUUAUAGUCACAGCAGCCUUAUGAAGUACUAGAGAGGUGAGAAAACUGAGAUGGAAAGAGGUUAUUGUAACUUGCCCAAGGUAAUACAGUAGGUGGUAGAGCUGGGUGCAGACCCAGACAGUCUAACGCAGGGCCUCCUCCUUCCACUGUUUCCCAUGCAACGUAAGUGGGGCCUUCUGGACCCUCGGUCUCUGGCUGUGUGUGGCCCUUGGCCCCUUGUGUCAGGGGUGAAGGGCUGUCCUGCCAGAAGGGUGUGUGUGUGCUGGGAAGGGGGUGGCUGGAGGUUGAGGCUUGGGCUGAACUUACGUAGACUUGUUUCUUUUUUUCCUACCUGUUUUUUAAUGGAAGCACUGCUUUUUGAGGGAUGGGGGUGACUCUUUCAUGCAAAGCUCUUACCCCAGAAAUUUGUCCCUACACUUUCUCCCUUUGCCACAAAUGGUGUCAUGUUCCAAAAAUCCCACGGCCAUGACUCCUUGUCAAGACCAUACGGAAGAGGCAGCAAAAAAAUUUUUUUAUCCUCACCCCAGGAUAUUUUUCCCAUUGAUUUUUAGAGAGUGGAAGGGCGGGAGGGAAGGAGGGGGAGACAGAAUGGGGGAAAGAGAAAGAGAGAGAGAUGAGAGAGACACAUUGAUUGGUUGCCUUCUGCACAUGCCUCUUCUGGGCCAGGGGUUAAACCUGCAACCCAGGUGUGUGCCCUUGACUGGGAAUUGAACCUAUGACCCCUUGGUCUGUGGGCAGAUACUCUAACCACUGAGCAUACCAGCCAGGGCUGGGAGAGGCUUUUUAAAAUGUCACUUUCCCCCUCUUUCUUUAACUGCUGUAGUCCAGGGAGCCUGGGCUGGACUUGCAGGGUAUGUGUGUGGGCAGAGGGGUGAGUGGGUAUCUGUGGGAAGUGAGAGGGAAGAAUGAAGAGCAGACCCUCAACUGUGUAUCAUUGCCCUCUGUGCCUGGGAUCUAGUAAGCUCUGUGCAUGCUCAUGCAUGCAUGUGUUUGAGGGGGGGGGAUGUUUAGGUGAAAUUCACAUGACAAAAUUAACCAUUUUUUGAAAAGUUCAAUUCAGUUGUAUGUAGUACAUCCCCAGUAUUGUGCAAACACCACCACUCUAGUUUAAAAUAUUUCAUCACUCUGAAGGAAUACCAGCAACUAUUGCAUGGUGGUUCUCUACACUUCACUCCCAGUCCAUAGCAACCAUCAGUCUGCUUUCUGUCUCUGUGGGUUUACUUAUUCUGGAAAUUUCAUCAAAAUGGAAUUGUAGAAUAUGCGAUUUUUUUUUGGGGGGGGGUCUGGCUUCUUGCACAGCAUGUUUUCAGAGUUCAUACAUGUGGUAGCAUGAAUCAGUACUUCAUUGCUUUUUUUUAUGACUGAACUGGUGGCCCGGUGCAUGAAUUUGUGCACAUUGAAAGGAAAUUAAUUAGAAGAAAUGUUUUAAUAUCACUAUUCGCCCUUUCUCGAUAAUAGAAGUGUCAACUAAAUUCACGAUUGACAGUGACAGAUUGAAACACAUGCAUGUGAUUGACACCAGUGAGAGCUUUAUAUGUAUCGCACAUGUGCGAGUCAACUUAGCCUUUUACAGAUAUAGAACAAACUUGCUUAAUUAGACCUGCUUUCUGAUGUAGCUAAACUUUUUCCAUCCCAGUGAAGCACUCCAACUUCUCUUUCAGAUAAUUGUCAGCAACACAGCAGUAAAUACCAACACAAAGCAGAUUAUUAUUGUAGAUCACGCAGGGAGAACAAAGGGUAAAAUAUUUAACUUCAGCAGUAUUUGAUUAUAUUCUGCGCAGUAAGAAAACCUGAAAUCAUUUUCAAGGUCCACCAUUUCUUUUUUUUAGUCAGAUCAAGUUUCUAAGCUUUCUAAAUCUCUGUUUUCCAGCUAAUGAAAAGAAAAUAGGAUUCCCCCGAGUCUCCUAUCUACCUACUCCAGGACUUCUUGAGGAUCAAAUGAGAUGAGGCAAGGGAAAACGCUUCACAGACAUUUGGUUAAAGUGCGAAAUGUUGGCGCCUGCUAUAAAGCAAGUCCUGUUUCUGGGGUGAAGAAACUGCAAGGAGGCUAGUUGUCGCUAGGGAGAGGAAGCCAGGUGUUGCUACGUGAUGUCAUUACUCGGACAGACACUUAGCAUAUUAGCCUUUUAUAUAUAUACUAGAGGCCCGGUGCACAAAAAUUUGUGCACUCGGGGGGAAGGGCGGGGGUCCCUCAGCCCGGCCUGUGCCCUCUCGCAGUCUGGGACCCCUCGGGAAAUAACAACCUGCUGGCUUAGGCCCGCUCCCGGGUGGCAGAGGGCAGGCCCAAUCCCUAGGUGCAGCCCCUGGUCGGGCUCAGAGCAGGGC
Myotis daubentonii (Daubenton's bat) is the source of this 11709-nucleotide long non-coding RNA. RefSeq lists it as uncharacterized. The record is from RefSeq and is a predicted model, not a curated record. Lineage: Eukaryota; Metazoa; Chordata; Mammalia; Chiroptera; Vespertilionidae.